This 253-nucleotide ribosomal RNA is filed under the name uncultured bacterium. Its description in RNAcentral is "partial 16S ribosomal RNA". It matches the Rfam family "Bacterial small subunit ribosomal RNA", at positions 524 to 776 of the family's 1533-position model. The record is from RNAcentral.
UACGGAGGGGGCUAGCGUUGUUCGGAAUUACUGGGCGUAAAGCGCGCGUAGGCGGACCUGCAAGUCGGGGGUGAAAGCCCGAGGCUCAACCUCGGAACUGCCCUCGAUACUGCGGGUCUCGAGUCCGGGAGAGGAGAGUGGAAUUCCUGGUGUAGCGGUGAAAUGCGCAGAUAUCAGGAAGAACACCCGUGGCGAAGGCGGCUCUCUGGGACGGUACUGACGCUGAGACGCGAAAGCGUGGGGAGCGAACAGG